This 250-nucleotide ribosomal RNA is filed under the name uncultured bacterium. RNAcentral's name for it is "partial 16S ribosomal RNA". It matches the Rfam family "Bacterial small subunit ribosomal RNA", at positions 524 to 773 of the family's 1533-position model. The record is from RNAcentral.
GACGAACCGUGCGAACGUUGUUCGGAAUUACUGGGCGUAAAGGGCUCGUAGGCGGCCAAUUAAGUCACACGUGAAAUCCCUCGGCUCAACCGGGGAACUGCGUGUGAGACUGGAUGGCUUGAGUUUGGGAGAGGAAUGCGGAAUUCCAGGUGUAGCGGUGAAAUGCGUAGAUAUCUGGAGGAACACCGGUGGCGAAGGCGGCAUUCUGGACCAAUACUGACGCUGAGGAGCGAAAGCCAGGGGAGCAAAC